Molecule: unclassified non-coding RNA, 240 nt
Filed under: soil metagenome
Description: partial contains 5.8S ribosomal RNA, internal transcribed spacer 2, and large subunit ribosomal RNA
Source: RNAcentral
AACCAUAGAAACCUGCGGAGUACCUGCGGAAGGAUCAUUACAAAAUACAAAUCUUGGUUGGAGGGGGUAUUGAGGAGGAAGAGAGAGGAGAGGGCUUGGUUCAAGUGCAUUUGCCUUGGAUGAUGCUUCUCGCUCUCGCUCCUCUGCUCACCAAUCCACAUUUACGCUUGUUGUGUUUGACAGAGUAUCAUAUUCAUGAGAAUCUAUGACAACUUUUAGCAAUGGAUCUCAGAUCGGAAG